UUGACCUCGGAUCAGGUAGGGAUACCCACUGAACUUAAGCAUAUCAAUAAGCGGAGG
RNAcentral lists this ribosomal RNA (57 nucleotides) under Pseudocyphellaria wilkinsii. Its description in RNAcentral is "partial 26S ribosomal RNA". The record is from RNAcentral. Lineage: Eukaryota; Fungi; Ascomycota; Lecanoromycetes; Peltigerales; Lobariaceae.